This 460-nucleotide ribosomal RNA is filed under the name uncultured bacterium. Its description in RNAcentral is "partial 16S ribosomal RNA". It matches the Rfam family "Bacterial small subunit ribosomal RNA", at positions 338 to 795 of the family's 1533-position model. The record is from RNAcentral.
CCUACGGGAGGCAGCAGUGAGGAAUAUUGGUCAAUGGACGAGAGUCUGAACCAGCCAAGUAGCGUGAAGGAUGACUGCCCUAUGGGUUGUAAACUUCUUUUAUAUGGGAAUAAAAUGUUCCACGUGUGGGAUUUUGUAUGUACCAUAUGAAUAAGGAUCGGCUAACUCCGUGCCAGCAGCCGCGGUAAUACGGAGGAUCCGAGCGUUAUCCGGAUUUAUUGGGUUUAAAGGGAGCGUAGGUGGAUUGUUAAGUCAGUUGUGAAAGUUUGCGGCUCAACCGUAAAAUUGCAGUUGAAACUGGCAGUCUUGAGUACAGUAGAGGUGGGUGGAAUUCGUGGUGUAGCGGUGAAAUGCGUAGAUAUCACGAAGAACUCCGAUUGCGAAGGCAGCUCACUGGACUGCAACUGACACUGAGGCGCGAAAGUGUGGGGAUCAAACAGGAUUAGAUACCCUAGUAGUC